GAUGAACGCUGGCGGCGUGCCUAACACAUGCAAGUCGAGCGACCGCACGGUAAGCUUGUUCCCUUGCGGUUAGCGGCGGACGGGUGAGUAACACGUGCAUAACAUUCUUCUUUGUCUGGGAUGAUUACGGGAGACCGGUGCUACUACUGGAGCAUACUUCGUACGGCUUGGAUCAGAAGUGCUUCACGGCCUUGCCGUCUCAUUUAGCCGGUUCCGUGUUGGAUUAGCUAGUUGGUAAGGUAACGGCUAACCAAGGCGACGAUGCUUAGCCGACCUGAGAGGAUGAUCGGCCACACUGGAACUGAGACACGGUCCAGACUCCUACGGGAGGCAGCAGUAGGGAAUAUUGCGCAAUGGGCGAAAGCCUGACCCAGCAAUGCCGCGUGAGUGAAGAAGGUCUUCGGAUCGUAAAGCUCUUUUGUUGGGAAAGAAAAGCAGCGUGUUAAAAUGUCGCCGUCCUGACGGUACCUAAUCAAUAAGCAACGGCUAACUACGUG
RNAcentral lists this ribosomal RNA (497 nucleotides) under uncultured bacterium. Its description in RNAcentral is "partial 16S ribosomal RNA". It matches the Rfam family "Bacterial small subunit ribosomal RNA", at positions 28 to 507 of the family's 1533-position model. The record is from RNAcentral.